GGAGGAGUGGCCGAGCGGUUUAAGGCUCUUGUCUUGAAAACAAGCGUACGUUCACGCGUACCGUGGGUUCGAAUCCCACCUCCUCCGC
This 88-nucleotide transfer RNA is filed under the name compost metagenome. Its description in RNAcentral is "tRNA-Ser". It matches the Rfam family "tRNA". From Rfam's summary of the family: Transfer RNA (tRNA) molecules are approximately 80 nucleotides in length. Their secondary structure includes four short double-helical elements and three loops (D, anti-codon, and T loops). The record is from RNAcentral.